UAUACAUAAUAUCUCCGAGUCUGGCAGGCCUUGUUAAAAAAGCAUGGCGGUCAGGCCGACAGGGUGUAGGGGGAAACUCCUGCGCCUCCCAUUGUGGAAAGGAGAAGAUAGCUUUGAUAA
This 120-nucleotide non-coding RNA is filed under the name Desulfotomaculum sp. RNAcentral describes it as "MoCo sequence". It matches the Rfam family "Molybdenum/Tungsten riboswitch aptamer (Moco RNA motif)". Lineage: Bacteria; Bacillati; Bacillota; Clostridia; Eubacteriales; Desulfotomaculaceae. The record is from RNAcentral.